This is a long non-coding RNA of Xenopus laevis (African clawed frog), 517 nucleotides long. RefSeq lists it as uncharacterized. The record is from RefSeq and is a predicted model, not a curated record. The transcript is spliced from 2 exons. Lineage: Eukaryota; Metazoa; Chordata; Amphibia; Anura; Pipidae.
UACAAAACUUUUUAUUUUUACAUUUUACAGAUAUUUGCUGCUUAAAAUCCCACGUUCUCUGACCGUCAUAAAUUCUUCUGGUGCAAAGUACUGUCGGCAAGCUCAGAGACUAAUAAGGCACUAAUAAGCUGAAGCUUUCCCAAAAGGACCUCAUCUAAUGCUGAGGAAGAUGAAGGGCUCCUACACACAAAGAGAAUAAGGACAGAAGUGAAUUCUGAAAGCCUCAAAGAAAGCAAUGAUUCACACACUUCUGCAUCGAUUCUUAUCCGCUUCCAAAGGGCAGAUGUUACACAAAGAGACUCUUGUAUGUCCUUAUAUUUAAUAUGCUGGAGCCGUGGAGUAAAAGGAGACCCCAACACCCAUAGCCAAGUGUCUGCAGAAAACACAGCAUUUAAUCAACAACAGGGUCGGACUGGGCCUGGGGGACACUGGGAAAAAACUUGGUGUGCCCCGCCGGUCCAGACUCGCUAUUACAAAAGACGAUUGUACACUCCAAUGAAGAAAAAAAUGUAUUAUA